AGUCUAACAUGUGUGCGAGUCAUUGGGCGCACUAAACCCAAAGGCGUAAUGAAAGUGAAAGGGGGGCGUCCCGGAGUCCUUGUGGCUCCGGCUGGCGCCCUCCGGGGCCGAUCCUUGACUGUUUGAUGCCGCUUGGGUUUAUCCCAUACCAAAGCGGGGCUAAAGGGAUAAUGCUAGGCGGGGUGAGUUCCUUUCCCCCGUCCAUCUCUGGCCUCGUGGGUACCCGGCGCGCUCUAAAUCGACGGUCCGGACUCUCUUUACGGGGAGUUCGCCUGUACGCAGGGGGGCGCAGGCCCGGGACUUGCCAUUUGACGCUGUUGCGCGAAUCUGUUGUUGACCUCACUGGCUUUGCUUGGGCUCUCGGUUGGUGCGGUGCGUCUGGGCGGGCUUUGGGUGGGGGCUUCGGCUUCUGCCCGGGUUCGUCCGGCGCGUCCGUGCCUUCCGAUCCUGCUCUGUCCGGAGUGGCCUAGCGUGCGUGCUGUCGGCAAGUACCAUGAGCAGACAUGUUGGGACCCGAAAGAUGGUGAACUAUGCCUGGCCAGGAUGAAGCCAGAGGAAACUCUGGUGGAGGUCCGUAGCAAUUCUGACGUGCAAAUCGAUUGUCAGAGCUGGGUAUAGGGGCGAAAGACUAAUCGAACCAUCUA
This 644-nucleotide ribosomal RNA is filed under the name Chionoecetes tanneri. Its description in RNAcentral is "partial 28S large subunit ribosomal RNA". It matches the Rfam family "Eukaryotic large subunit ribosomal RNA", at positions 672 to 946 of the family's 3401-position model. The record is from RNAcentral. Lineage: Eukaryota; Metazoa; Arthropoda; Malacostraca; Decapoda; Majidae.